GACGAACGCUGGCGGCGUGCCUAACACAUGCAAGUCGAACGGAGGAGUUCAGCAAUGGAUUUCUUAGUGGCGAACGGGUGAGUAACGCGUAGACAACCUGCCUCUAAGCUGGGGACAACAACUCGAAAGGGUUGCUAAUACCGAAUGUGAACAGUGCCUCGCAUGAGAUGCUGUUUGAAGGUGGCCUCUGAAUAUGCUACCGCUUAGAGAUGGGUCUGCGUCUGAUUAGCUAGUUGGAGGGGUAAUGGCCCACCAAGGCGACGAUCAGUAGCCGGUCUGGGAGGAGGGACGGCCGUACGGGGACUGAGACACGGCCCAGACUCCUACGGGAGGCAGCAGUGGGGAAUCUUCCGCAAUGGACGAAAGUCUGACGGAGCAACGCCGCGUGAGUGAAGAAGGCCCUCGGGUCGUAAAGCUCUGUCUUCAGGGACGAAUGUGCAGAUUGUGAAUAAUGGUUUGUAAUGACGGUACCUGAGGAGGAAGCCACGGCUAACUACGUGCCAGCCGCCGCCGUAA
This 516-nucleotide ribosomal RNA is filed under the name uncultured bacterium. RNAcentral's name for it is "partial 16S ribosomal RNA". It matches the Rfam family "Bacterial small subunit ribosomal RNA", at positions 28 to 523 of the family's 1533-position model. The record is from RNAcentral.